UGGGGAAUAUUGGGCAAUGGGCGAAAGCCUGACCCAGCAACGCCGCGUGAAGGAAGAAGGUUUUCGGAUUGUAAACUUCUGUCCUCAGGGAAGAAGGACGUGACGGUACCUGAGGAGGAAGCCCCGGCUAACUACGUGCCAGCAGCCGCGGUAAUACGUAGGGGGCGAGCGUUGUCCGGAAUGACUGGGCGUAAAGGGCGCGUAGACGGCUUUUUAAGUCUGGAGUGAAAGUCCUGCUUUCAAGGUGGGAAUUGCUUUGGAGACUGGGAGGCUUGAGUGCGGAAGAGGUAAGUGGAAUUCCCAGUGUAGCGGUGAAAUGCGUAGAGAUUGGGAGGAACACCAGUGGCGAAGGCGACUUACUGGGCCGUAACUGACGUUGAUGCGCGAAAGCGUGGGGAGCGAACAG
Molecule: ribosomal RNA, 406 nt
Filed under: uncultured bacterium
Lineage: Bacteria
Description: bacterial SSU rRNA
Rfam family: Bacterial small subunit ribosomal RNA
Source: RNAcentral